AACACGACUCUCGGCAACGGAUAUCUCGGCUCUCGCAUCGAUGAAGAACGUAGCAAAAUGCGAUACCUGGUGUGAAUUGCAGAAUCCCGCGAACCAUCGAGUUUUUGAACGCAAGUUGCGCCCGAGACCUUCUGGUUGAGGGCACGCCUGCCUGGGCGUCACGC
Molecule: ribosomal RNA, 164 nt
Filed under: Urochloa dictyoneura
Lineage: Eukaryota; Viridiplantae; Streptophyta; Magnoliopsida; Poales; Poaceae
Description: 5.8S ribosomal RNA
Rfam family: 5.8S ribosomal RNA
About the family: 5.8S ribosomal RNA (5.8S rRNA) is a component of the large subunit of the eukaryotic ribosome. It is transcribed by RNA polymerase I as part of the 45S precursor that also contains 18S and 28S rRNA. Functionally, it is thought that 5.8S rRNA may be involved in ribosome translocation.
Source: RNAcentral